This 71-nucleotide transfer RNA is filed under the name Cordylochernes scorpioides. Its description in RNAcentral is "tRNA-Gly". It matches the Rfam family "tRNA". Rfam says of the family: Transfer RNA (tRNA) molecules are approximately 80 nucleotides in length. Their secondary structure includes four short double-helical elements and three loops (D, anti-codon, and T loops). Further hydrogen bonds mediate the characteristic L-shaped molecular structure. tRNAs have two regions of fundamental functional importance: the anti-codon, which is responsible for specific mRNA codon recognition, and the 3' end, to which the tRNAs corresponding amino acid is attached (by aminoacyl-tRNA synthetases). tRNAs cope with the degeneracy of the genetic code in two manners: having more than one tRNA (with a specific anti-codon) for a particular amino acid; and 'wobble' base-pairing, i.e. permitting non-standard base-pairing at the 3rd anti-codon position. The record is from RNAcentral. Lineage: Eukaryota; Metazoa; Arthropoda; Arachnida; Pseudoscorpiones; Chernetidae.
GCAUCGGUGGUUCAGUGGUAGAAUGCUCGCCUGCCACGCGGGCGCCCCAGGUUCAAUUCCCGGCCAAUGCC